GAUGAACGCUGGCGGCGUGCCUAAUACAUGCAAGUCGAGCGAACAGAUGAGGAGCUUGCUCCUCUGACGUUAGCGGCGGACGGGUGAGUAACACGUGGAUAACCUACCUAUAAGACUGGGAUAACUUCGGGAAACCGGAGCUAAUACCGGAUAAUAUAUUGAACCGCAUGGUUCAAUAGUGAAAGACGGUUUUGCUGUCACUUAUAGAUGGAUCCGCGCCGCAUUAGCUAGUUGGUAAGGUAACGGCUUACCAAGGCAACGAUGCGUAGCCGACCUGAGAGGGGGGUCGGCCACACUGGAGCUGAGACACGGUCCAGACUCCUACGGGAGGCCGCAGUAGGGAAUCUUACGCAAUGGGCGAGAGUCUGACGGAGCAACGGCGCGUGAGUGAUGAAGGUCCUCGGAUCGUAAAACUCUGUUAUUAGGGAAGAACAAAUGUGUAAGUAACUAUGCACGUCUUGACGGUAAUUAAUCAGAAAGCAACGGCUAACUACGUG
This 497-nucleotide ribosomal RNA is filed under the name uncultured bacterium. RNAcentral describes it as "partial 16S ribosomal RNA". It matches the Rfam family "Bacterial small subunit ribosomal RNA", at positions 28 to 507 of the family's 1533-position model. The record is from RNAcentral.